This 252-nucleotide ribosomal RNA is filed under the name uncultured Mollicutes bacterium. RNAcentral's name for it is "partial 16S ribosomal RNA". It matches the Rfam family "Bacterial small subunit ribosomal RNA", at positions 524 to 776 of the family's 1533-position model. The record is from RNAcentral. Lineage: Bacteria; Bacillati; Mycoplasmatota; Mollicutes.
UACGUAGGUGGCGAGCGUUAUCCGGAUUUAUUGGGCGUAAAGCGUGCGCAGGCGGUUUGUUAAGUCUAAAAUUAAAGCCCGAAGCUUAACUUCGGUUCGUUUUAGAAACUGGCAGACUUGAGUAUGGUAGAGGCAAAUGGAAUUUCUAGUGUAGCGGUAGAAUGCGUAGAUAUUAGGAGGAACACCAGUGGCGAAGGCGACUUUCUGGACUGUACCUGACGCUGAGGCGCGAAAGCGUGGGUAGCGAACGGG